GAGCGUAGAGGAAAAUGUGAGUGAUAAUGGGAGUGAGGAUGAGAUUCAGAAGAGGAUGAGAAGGGAGGAUGAGAGGGAGAAGUAACAAAAGUGAAAACAAUUUCAAAUAGAUUUCACUUUUGUUACUCCUCCCUCACGUCCUCCACUCUCAUUCCCACUUUCAUUCUCUCUUUUUCCUCUAUACUCU
This 187-nucleotide small nucleolar RNA is filed under the name Prunus dulcis (almond). RNAcentral describes it as "sRNA ncRNA". The record is from RNAcentral. Lineage: Eukaryota; Viridiplantae; Streptophyta; Magnoliopsida; Rosales; Rosaceae.